This 193-nucleotide ribosomal RNA is filed under the name Candidatus Accumulibacter contiguus. RNAcentral describes it as "partial 16S ribosomal RNA". It matches the Rfam family "Bacterial small subunit ribosomal RNA", at positions 1 to 187 of the family's 1533-position model. Lineage: Bacteria; Pseudomonadati; Pseudomonadota; Betaproteobacteria. The record is from RNAcentral.
AUUGAACUGAAGAGUUUGAUCCUGGCUCAGAUUAAACGCUGGCGGCAUGCCUUACACAUGCAAGUCGAACGGCAGCACGGGGUGGUAACACUCUGGUGGCGAGUGGCGGACGGGUGAGUAAAGCAUCGGAACGUGCCCUGGAAUGGGGGAUAACGUAGCGAAAGUUACGCUAAUACGCAUAUUCUGUGAGCAG